RNAcentral lists this ribosomal RNA (499 nucleotides) under uncultured bacterium. RNAcentral's name for it is "partial 16S ribosomal RNA". It matches the Rfam family "Bacterial small subunit ribosomal RNA", at positions 28 to 507 of the family's 1533-position model. The record is from RNAcentral.
GACGAACGCUGGCGGCGUGCUUAACACAUGCAAGUCGAACGGGCCUGUCUUCUUUUUUGGGGGUGGGUUGAGUGGCGAACGGGUGAGUAUCACGUGAGUAACCUGCCCUUCGGUCCUGGAUAACCGCUUGAAAGGGCGGCCAAUACGGGGUGGUCCGGUUGGUCCGCAUGGGCUGGUCGGGAUAGAUUCACUGUUUUUGGCGUUUCGGCGGGGGAUGGGUUCGCGGCCUAUCAGCUUGUUGGUGGGGUGAUGGCCUACCAAGGCGGUGACGGGUAGCCGGCCGGAGGGGGUGGGCGGCCGGACUGGGACGGCGAUCCGGCCCAGGAUCCUGCGGGAGGCAGCGGUUGGGGGUAUUACAGACGGGGGGGUGACGUGAUGCAGCGACGUGGCGUGAGGGAUGUAGGCGUUCGGGUUGUGAUCCUCUGAUUGCGGUGGUGAAGGGCCUGUCCGUGUGGUGGGGUUGACGGUAGCCGGGGAUGAAGCGCCGGCUAACUACGUG